Molecule: ribosomal RNA, 876 nt
Filed under: Staphylococcus capitis
Lineage: Bacteria; Bacillati; Bacillota; Bacilli; Caryophanales; Staphylococcaceae
Description: partial 23S ribosomal RNA
Rfam family: Bacterial large subunit ribosomal RNA
Source: RNAcentral
GUGGAAGCGUCUGGAAAGACGCGCGAUACAGGGUGACAGCCCCGUACACAAAAAUGCACAUAUUGUGAGCUCGAUGAGUAGGGCGGGACACGUGGUAUCCUGUCUGAAUAUGGGGGGACCAUCCUCCAAGGCUAAAUACUCCUGACUGACCGAUAGUGAACCAGUACCGUGAGGGAAAGGCGAAAAGAACCCCGGCGAGGGGAGUGAAAAAGAACCUGAAACCGUGUACGUACAAGCAGUGGGAGCACGCUUAGGCGUGUGACUGCGUACCUUUUGUAUAAUGGGUCAGCGACUUAUAUUCUGUAGCAAGGUUAACCGAAUAGGGGAGCCGAAGGGAAACCGAGUCUUAACUGGGCGUUAAGUUGCAGGGUAUAGACCCGAAACCCGGUGAUCUAGCCAUGGGCAGGUUGAAGGUUGGGUAACACUAACUGGAGGACCGAACCGACUAAUGUUGAAAAAUUAGCGGAUGACUUGUGGCUGGGGGUGAAAGGCCAAUCAAACCGGGAGAUAGCUGGUUCUCCCCGAAAGCUAUUUAGGUAGCGCCUCGGACGAAUACCAUUGGGGGUAGAGCACUGUUUCGGCUAGGGGGUCAUCCCGACUUACCAACCCGAUGCAAACUGCGAAUACCGGAGAAUGUUAUCACGGGAGACAGACGGCGGGUGCUAACGUCCGUCGUGAAGAGGGAAACAACCCAGACCGCCAGCUAAGGUCCCAAAGUCAUGGUUAAGUGGGAAACGAUGUGGGAAGGCCCAGACAGCCAGGAUGUUGGCUUAGAAGCAGCCAUCAUUUAAAGAAAGCGUAAUAGCUCACUGGUCGAGUCGGCCUGCGCGGAAGAUGUAACGGGGCUAAACCAUGCACCGAAGCUGCGGCAGCGAC